This is a long non-coding RNA of Salvia splendens (bonfire salvia), 1224 nucleotides long. RefSeq lists it as uncharacterized. The record is from RefSeq and is a predicted model, not a curated record. The transcript is spliced from 3 exons. NCBI's taxonomy places the organism in Eukaryota, Viridiplantae, Streptophyta, Magnoliopsida, Lamiales, Lamiaceae.
ACCAUUUCUCUUCUCCAAAUUGAAAAAAAAACUCUAAACUAGAAGUGGACUACUUAGCCAUCGAUUCUCCCGAGUUCUCUUUCUCGACGCUGACAGCCCUUCCUACCGCGACACCACCGCUGCUGCUAUUGUUUCAGCUGGUGACCGCUGCCGUCGCUCGCUAAGUUGCUUCACUUUUAAUUUGCACAAAAAAGUUUUAAACUUUGAAGUCUUUACUAAAAGUUUCAGAAACGAAAAGGGUUUGGAAAUGUUGUUGGUUGCCUCGCUGCCGCUGGUCUACCGAGGGCAGAAACUCCGGCUCGAGGUGGAGAACUAGUUGACAAACCACAAGCUUCAUUCUGAUUCAGUGGUGGGGCUGAGGUACCAUGGCAAUAGCCUCGGGCUGCCCUCUGUUUCCAAAUUUCGCACUAGACAUAUACCCUCUGUUAGCCGUAUGAUUCUGAGGGUGGGGGCUAUGGUGCUCGUGACUCCCCUAAGGCAUUGCCGCUGGAUGAUAAAGUGGCCAAUGGUGGUGCAAGGCACAUUGAUUUUGCCAAUACAUCAGGGAAUUGUUAUGACAGAGUCGUUGUAUGGCACCGUGAUUCUGCUUAUGAUGAGUCAUCUGAAUCUGUCACUAACACGGAAGUAAACUCCACCCCCGAAACAACCAGUAGCAACAGCGUCUCACUGGAGAAACGGAACAAAAUAUGCAAACCAAGAGACAGUGGUCUAGGAAACUGGUAUGCUGAUGCAUCUGUCCGUGUAUGCCUCCACUCGUGGUUAAGGGGGGCUGUAUGGGAGCUCCUCCCUUUUAAAAAAAUGAAAGUUCAAUGCUGAGGGAUGCAUUUGGGUGAGAUAAUCUCUGGAUUUUGUUUUUAAUUUUCAGAUGAUUAGUUAGCUUCCAAAGCAUAUCUUGGUUUCUUUUGCACGAAAGAAUGAUAGUUAAAAGCGUAUAUCAGCAUUACAUUAUCUUUCCUUGUUAAAUUUGUAGGUUAAGAAAUAUACUAUUAAAAUCAGAAGAAGAGCUGGUGAGGGAAGAUCAUUCUGAACUUGCCUGUGAAGGCGCUUUUGUAAAGUCUAAGAAAACCAUCAGGAAGAUUAAAGUUCAAGGUCUAUAUGUGGUAUUGCAAGAAAAUUGAUUUCUGCUUCUUGUGUAUGGCUUGUAUUUAACUGUACAAAGUUUUUCUAUUAUUUUUUAGUUCGUAAAGUGAAAACACGGAUGGAGUGGAACCUGUAGAAAUCACG